GAUGAACGCUGGCGGCGUGCCUAUUACAUGCAAGUCGAGCGAACAGACGAGGAGCUUGCUCCUCUGACGUUAGCGGCGGACGGGUGAGUAACACGUGGAUAACCUACCUAUAAGACUGGGAUAACUUCGGGAAACCGGAGCUAAUACCGGAUAAUAUAUUGAACCGCAUGGUUCAAUAGUGAAAGACGGUUUUGCUGUCACUUAUAGAUGGAUCCGCGCCGCAUUAGCUAGUUGGUAAGGUAACGGCUUACCAAGGCGACGAUGCGUAGCCGACCUGAGAGGGUGAUCGGCCACACUGGAACUGAGACACGGUCCAGACUCCUACGGGAGGCAGCAGUAGGGAAUCUUCCGCAAAGGGCGAAAGCCUGACGGAGCAACGCCGCGUGAGUGAUGAAGGUCUUCGGAUCGUAAAACUCUGUUAUUAGGGAAGAACAAAUGUGUAAGUAACUAUGCACGUCUUGACGGUACCUAAUCAGAAAGCCACGGCUAACUACGUG
RNAcentral lists this ribosomal RNA (497 nucleotides) under uncultured bacterium. RNAcentral describes it as "partial 16S ribosomal RNA". It matches the Rfam family "Bacterial small subunit ribosomal RNA", at positions 28 to 507 of the family's 1533-position model. The record is from RNAcentral.